ACGAACGCUGGCGGCGUGCCUAAUACAUGCAAGUCGAACGAGAGCGACCGGUGCUUGCACUGGUCAAUCUAGUGGCGAACGGGUGAGUAACACGUGGGUAACCUGCCCAUCAGAGGGGGAUAACAUCCGGAAACGGAUGCUAAAACCGCAUAGGUCUUCGAACCGCAUGGUUUGAAGAGGAAAAGAGGCGCAAGCUUCUGCUGAUGGAUGGACCCGCGGUGCAUUAGCUAGUUGGUGAGGUAACGGCUCACCAAGGCCGUGAUGCAUAGCCGACCUGAGAGGGUGAUCGGCCACAUUGGGACUGAGACACGGCCCAAACUCCUACGGGAGGCAGCAGUAGGGAAUCUUCCGCAAUGGACGCAAGUCUGACGGAGCAACGCCGCGUGAGUGAAGAAGGUUUUAGGAUCGUAAAACUCUGUUGUUAGAGAAGAACAAGUGCUAGAGUAACUGUUAGCGCCUUGACGGUAUCUAACCAGAAAGCCACGGCUAACUACGUG
Molecule: ribosomal RNA, 497 nt
Filed under: uncultured bacterium
Lineage: Bacteria
Description: partial 16S ribosomal RNA
Rfam family: Bacterial small subunit ribosomal RNA
Source: RNAcentral